This 245-nucleotide ribosomal RNA is filed under the name uncultured bacterium. Its description in RNAcentral is "partial 16S ribosomal RNA". It matches the Rfam family "Bacterial small subunit ribosomal RNA", at positions 524 to 768 of the family's 1533-position model. The record is from RNAcentral.
GACGGAGGUCCCGAGCGUUGUUCGGAUUUACUGGGCUUAAAGCGCGUGUAGGCGGGUCGGUGCGUACCUUGUGAAAUCCCCCGGCUCAACCGGGGAACUGCUCGGUAUACGACCGGUCUUGAGGCAGGUAGAGGCGCCUGGAACCUUAGGUGGAGCGGUGAAAUGCGUAGAUAUCUAAGGGAACGCCGGUGGCGAAAGCGGGGCGCUGGGCCUGUCCUGACGCUAAGACGCGAAAGCGUAGGGAG